Long non-coding RNA from Sus scrofa (pig), 5460 nucleotides. RefSeq lists it as uncharacterized. NCBI's taxonomy places the organism in Eukaryota, Metazoa, Chordata, Mammalia, Artiodactyla, Suidae. The record is from RefSeq and is a predicted model, not a curated record.
UCCCACAUCCUUGUAGAUACUAGUCAGGUUUAUUUCUGCUGAUCCACAAUGGGCAUUCUAGGUUUUUCUUUUUUAUAUCACCAUCUAAUGUUCUCUGUUCAUUAAAGAUGUCCACUUCAUUAUAAAGAAAGUGAAUAUGUAAAAUCUGGUUUGCAUUUCAAUCUUCCAUAAAACAUGUUUAUGUGUGGAGGAAAUAAUCAUCCCACAGAGUUAAUCUCAUAUAAACUGAAUACAACAGAAAAUAUGCUUCUAUAGUUAAUCCUAAUAUAACUUCACAGUGAAAAUCAUCAGCUGUCUAAAGACACCAGAAUAUGCCUUCAUUAGCGUAGUUUUGCCAUAUAGAAUAUAUUAUCAUGCAAAUAUUCUGGCUUUCUUUGAAAAGUAUCUUAAAAGUAAAAAAAUAACAGGAGAAAAGUUUCAUGCAUCACCAUUUGCAUUACUUGAUAAAUUGUGUCAAUUAAAUUAGUUCAUUCUUAUUAUUAUCACUGCUAUUAUUAUUAACAUUAUGGAAAAUCAACAGAAAAUACUGUUCCAAAGAGUACUUAAGGUCUCUCUUCAUUUUGAGUAAUCAAAUCAAUAUAUCUAAUCAAAAGAAGCAAUUGCCAAAAGAGAAAUUAUUAUUUUCCUGCUUGUAAUGAACCAAUUUUUGACUUUAUAGUCCUACACAGAAAGAUUAGUUGAGAAAGUCAUAAUGAUAUAUAAAGCCACCCUUUCAGAAAAUUAAUUUUCAAGGCUAUGCAACAGACAAAGAUUAAAAUGAAUUGAAAAGAGACCAGAAAAAAAAUUUUUUACAACAUUUUGAACUCCUCCCAAUUAGGACAAAAUCCUCAUUGCUUAUUCUGAACAGGGAAGCCCAUUAAUUUCUGCAGUGUUGGCAGAGUAUAAAACAUUGACUUUCAGUGGAUUUUGGAAUUUUAGAAAGGCAAAAAUCUGCAUUAGUCAUCUCAUUCUAAGAGGCAGAGAGGUAUUACUGAGUUUACUCUCUCAGUGAUUUGGAAAUUGAAGCACAAAUGUUGAACUGCUUGGUUCCCUUUUCAAAUUUUCCACUCUGCCUUUGGAGCAGGUGGUCAGCAUUUGCCUUCAAGACCUAGGAUCCUGCAGCCAGGACCUCAAGUGUUCAAAAAUGGUAGCGUUUUAUCUCCAGGAGGUAUCAAGGGCAACCUGAGAAGACUGCAUUGCUCUGUGCUCAGUGCUCCCAGUUUUGUACUUUGGAGAAAGGACAGGAAGAGCUGGUUUCUUUCCAAAAAGCUCACAUCCAGAGGGAGCGCAGCAAUAUGGUACAGUCUCAGACUCUGCUAUGUCCCUGCAGUGCGGGCAUUUGGCUUAGAGAGAGGUGUGGUGUUGGAAAACUCAAGACAGGAUAUCCCUGGGGGUGAGGUUAGCUCCUGAGGUAAGGUGGUUUUAUGUUAAGGCUUCAGGUUUCACCUUGACUUCAUUUUAGGUCCUACAUUCAAAAACACCUUUUCAUGAGAAAACGAGACCCCCAGAGAGCCCUCUGGGAAUUAUGAGUGUGAAGAAACAGACCAGCAAACAGACUGUGUUCUUUCUUUUGAAUUCUGAAUUUGCUAUUGGAUAUUUAGACAGUAAGGUAUUUCCUGAUAAGGUGAUAUUUUGUAGUAAAACAAGCUAUGAACUUAGAAAUGAGGAAGGCUUCAAGAAACUGAAGGUUAUUUUUAUUGUUUGUUUACAUUCCAGCAAUAUGCUUCUAGGAUAUAAUGGAAAAGUGGCCACUUAUUUGACCAACAAUACAUAACAAAUACACACAACUUAGCAUAAUGCCAGGCAUGGGAGGAAGCACUAAAAAAAUGUUCCUUUUAUUUUCUUGCUCGCAUUUCCUUUUUGAAUCCGAAGAAUGGAGUGUUCCAUAUUUACUCACAGUUAGAUCCCUGCUGGAUUGUGAGUUCCUUAGAGGGCAUCACGCCAUGUCUUAUUAAUUAUACAACCUCUCAUUCCCAACCUUAUAGCAUGACACUUACAUCCAAUAAUUGCUGAAUAAGUGUUAAAGUUGAAAGCAAGUAGCAUAUUCUUACAAUUGGAUAUUUACUUCCUGUGUUCAGUGUUAUAUUUCAUUAAAAGGAUCUAAAUCACUUGCUUGAGAAAGACUACCUAUAGGACAUUCAUCAGUGUGACCUCAUUUAGUAACUUGAAAAUCUUGAUAGAUUGGCUUUACAUGUUAAUCUCUUGGAUAUUCUUCAUGGCUCCCUUAUUGGGUUGCUUUCCCAUUUUGGGUUGAACUUCUGUUCCUCAAACAGUUUCUUGCUUCCCUAGAAUAGCUCUUGACUUGAUUGCAAAUUAAAACUCUUGAAUGGGUACCUUGCUCCAAUGAUUUUUCAAUGACUACACUGUCAGUAAGGAUUUGUCAUUAUUGCCCCAGCUCCAAAUUUCUAUAAUCAUUUGCAUUUUGAAAUAAUCAGGGUAACCAUUCACUGAGACUAUAAUAUAUGAUUUUUUUUUGGUGUUUUUGAAAGGGGAAUAAUAAAGAGAAAGUAAAUUGCUAUUAUAUCUAUUUGAAUAGAAGCCCAUUCCAGGGAGAUAUGGGGGACAUGGCUUGAACUUUGGCUCUUACUUUAGCCUUUUAGAAGCAUUUACACUUGAGUCAUUGAAGAGCUCUUAGAGCCUCACAGCUUUCCAGAAGCUAUGAAUUCUUAAUGAAAAAUGAACUUUGACUUUUAGUUGGAGGUAUUAUUAUUAGGUCUGUGGUAUAAGAGGGAGUAGGGAGACAGAACACGGAACACACUUUCUUUGUUUUUGUUUUUGAAGGUCAGAGUUUUAGUUCUUUUCCUUCCUUCUUGUUUCCCCCUUCUCUCCCUUCCUUUUUUUUUUUUUCCUUUCUCCCUCUCCCAUAAUUUGAAAAAGCAGCUGGGAAAAGUAGCACUUGAACAUUAUUACUCAAAGCACGGUCCAUCUGUGAUGAUCAUCAACAGAAUUAGAUGGGGUGGAUGGGGUAUUUAUUAAACAUUCAGAUUCCUGACCUUCUAAAUACUCUAAACCUACUAAAUCAGAAAAACCUCCACAAUGUGAUUUUUUUUAAAAAAACAAAAACAUUAUUUAUGUUUGAAAAAUUUACAAACUGUUUGAGCUGUGUGAUUGGAUUCAGGAAGUAAAGUCAAGCUCAAUUAAAAAAAAAAACUUUUCUCAGGGCUUGAAUAGCUUAUUUUUAUGUGUAAUUUAUAAAAAUCUCAUUUUACAAGAUGCCAUUUCUCCUAUUGUAAAAUAUGAAAAUUUGUGGCUGGCACUUUGGUGGCAGUCCAGAAACAAUGGGAUAGGUGCCUCCCGGGUAGCUACAGUGGAUAAAUUGAUGCAGUAAAACAUCAACCCACAGAGAAAAUCUUAGCAUCUUCUUAAGUGUUCAUUACAUACAAGAGCACCUCCAUGGCUCCUCUUUAACUGAGAUCAUAUAUGACUUCAUCACGAAGAUGGCCCAUUUCUCUAUCCCUAAUGGAGAAAAUGGGUUUUAUACAGCAUGUAAAUCAUAUUCUCUCUCUAAAAUCAUAUUGAUGUAACCAAAUUUAGUCUGAUCUCCUGCUUAAUAUGUUUUUAAAAGCAGCAAGGGAAUUCAAACGUCAAUGCCAGAAUCAAUUCCUGUCAUCCCACAGAACUGUUAAAAGGUUUCAUUCCAAAAUCAUAUUUCUUUCUACCAAAACCUGACAUUUGAGUCUAUGAAAUUGUUUACUCUUGAUUUUUUAAAAAUCAGUUUACUGACAUGUUUUGAUGGAUGCUGCAUAAUCAUAUCCUCUAUUACCAGGUAUUGUUCAUGCUUCUUAAAUUUGAUUUUAAUCCAAUAUGCGCACACAAACUAUCAAAUAAAAGCCGGUAAUCUUGUUAUCAAAAUUCAGCCUCAUAUGCAUCUGAGUGACAACUUCUACUUCUUUCUGCAGGUUCCCAUUUGGAAGCACAAAACAAAGCAUGACCAUGAAAAGUACACUGGAGUUCAAAAUACUUGGUAGUGAAAAAGAAGGUCAGAGUGGCCACAAAUAUAUCUUAGGGUGAUGUCAGAGUUGAUACAGGAAGAAAAUGUCAAAAAAGUACAAUACCACAAAUUUAAGUGACUGUAAGAAGAAUAGAAAAUAUUACUGAUAUGACAAAGAAAGAAAGGGGUGAUACAAUUGAGUGAUGUGAAGUUCAAGGGAUGGUGGACAGGAAGGUCCCCAGAGAUGUCUAUGGCCUAAAACCUGAAAUCUGGCAGCGUGUUAUAUAACAUAGCAAAAGGGACUUUGCGGAUUGCAUUACAGUUAAGGGCCUUAAAAUAAGGAGGCUAUCCUGGAUUAUCCACAUGGGUCCAAUUUAAUCACAAUAGUCCUUAAAAGCAGAGAUAUUUCUGUGGCUGGAAAUAGGAGAGAUAAGGCAGAGGGAAAGUUAUAGCAAUUCAAAGUGUGAGAAGGACUUAACCCGCUCCUACUGACUUGGAACAUGAGGGGCCACAAACCAGGGAAUAUGGAGGCCUCUAGAACAAUCCUUGGCCAACCACUAGGGAGAAAACAGGGACCUCCAUCCUUCAACCACUCGGAAUUGAAUUUUGCCGAUAUUCUAACUGAGCCUAUGAACAGAUUUUUCUCCAGAUCCUCUGGUCUGCCUGAGACCUUGAUUUUGUUCUUGUGAGACCAAAGCCGAGAAGUCAGUCCAGCACCCUGGAACUUCUGACCCACAGAACUGUGAGCCUCCCUUCCCAGAGAGCCCACGCAGUUGAGACCCACGCUGCAUCCUGUGGAAAGGAUCAUUCUGUUUUCUCCAGGCUCCAGAGUUGAGGUGAACAGCAGAAUUGAGACAGGAGAACAAAAUAUCAGAGGUGUAGCUCCUCAACUGGCAAGUUACCCCAGACUCGUGGAAGAAAACGCGUAAAGGGAAUUUCCCCCAAGGAGCCUUAUUUAUGCAUUCCUGCAAAAACACUAAUACCCUAGAAAGUACAGCCACAUGAAUGCCUCUGAACUUGUUUGAUGGAUGACAAUUGUCCUGUCAUUAUGCUGGUGGAAGACAAAGUGGCGGAAGGUAGGAAUGGAGAAGGGCUGGGCACUACUACCAUGCACACAAAGUGGUGAAACUUUGUGAUGUCUAAGGCAUAUUCCAUUGGCAUUUUGUGACUCUGAGUCUAAAGGUUGCAACCCAAGGCAUGCAGGUUGCCUCUAGAAGCUGGGAAUGUCUCUUAGCAAGGAAACGGGGAUGUCAGUUCUACAUCACAGGAUCUUAAUUCUGUCAGCAACCUGAAUGGGCAAGAACACAGAUUCUACCCCCAAACUUCCAGAAAGAAACACAUCUCUGCUGACACCCUAAUUUUUAGCCUGGUGAGAUCCAUACCAAGUUCUGACCAGGGGAACUCUAAGAUGAUAAAUUGAUGUUGUUUUAAGCCACUAACUUUGUGGUAAUUUUAUUGUAGUAGCAAAGGAAAACUAAAACCUUCAGGAAAGAAAACAUCACAACACUUCCUUAAUGAUCAAGAAGGAAAAUAAUAGCAACAAAAAUCUG